AGGCUAGCCAUGGUAAGUCAACGUGCGCCCUCGCGCACGUGGCGUACGGCUCAGUAACGCGUGGCUAACCUACCCUCACGACGGGGAUAACCUCGGGAAACUGAGGAUAACCCCCGAUAAGUGAAUGGUUUUGGAAGAACCUUUCACCGAAAUGGAUAGAGCAAAUGGACUUCAUCCGCAUGAGGAUGGGGCUGCGUCCCAUCAGGCAGUUGGUGGGGUAAUGGCCCACCAAACCUAUAACGGGUACGGGCCGUGAGAGCGGGAGCCCGGAGAUGGGCACUGAGACAAGGGCCCAGGCUCUACGGAGCGCACCAAGCGCGAAACCUUCGCAAUGCGGGAAACCGUGACGGGGCCAUCCCGAGUGCAGGCUGCUGAGGCUUGCUUUUACCCAGUGUAAGAGGCUGGGUGAAUAAGUGGGGGGCAAGACUGGUGACAGCCGCCGCGGUAAUACCAGCUCCACGAGUGGUCAGGACGGUUAUUGGGCCUAAAGCGUCCGUAGCCGGCCCAGUAAGUUUAUGGUGAAAUCCGGCAUCUCAAGUGUCGGAGUGCUGUAAAUACUGCUGGGCUAGGGAGCGGGAGAGGCCGGGG
This 588-nucleotide ribosomal RNA is filed under the name uncultured archaeon. RNAcentral describes it as "bacterial SSU rRNA". It matches the Rfam family "Archaeal small subunit ribosomal RNA", at positions 41 to 614 of the family's 1478-position model. The record is from RNAcentral.